This 326-nucleotide ribosomal RNA is filed under the name Escherichia coli. Its description in RNAcentral is "partial 23S ribosomal RNA". It matches the Rfam family "Bacterial large subunit ribosomal RNA", at positions 2617 to 2925 of the family's 2925-position model. Lineage: Bacteria; Pseudomonadati; Pseudomonadota; Gammaproteobacteria; Enterobacterales; Enterobacteriaceae. The record is from RNAcentral.
CGUCGUGAGACAGUUCGGUCCCUAUCUGCCGUGGGCGCUGGAGAACUGAGGGGGGCUGCUCCUAGUACGAGAGGACCGGAGUGGACGCAUCACUGGUGUUCGGGUUGUCAUGCCAAUGGCACUGCCCGGUAGCUAAAUGCGGAAGAGAUAAGUGCUGAAAGCAUCUAAGCACGAAACUUGCCCCGAGAUGAGUUCUCCCUGACUCCUUGAGAGUCCUGAAGGAACGUUGAAGACGACGACGUUGAUAGGCCGGGUGUGUAAGCGCAGCGAUGCGUUGAGCUAACCGGUACUAAUGAACCGUGAGGCUUAACCUUACAACGCCGAAG